Molecule: ribosomal RNA, 460 nt
Filed under: uncultured bacterium
Lineage: Bacteria
Description: partial 16S ribosomal RNA
Rfam family: Bacterial small subunit ribosomal RNA
Source: RNAcentral
CCUACGUGAGGCAGCAGUGAGGAAUAUUGGUCAAUGGGCGCGAGCCUGAACCAGCCAAGUAGCGUGAAGGAUGACUGCCCUACGGGUUGUAAACUUCUUUUAUAAAGGAAUAAAGUGAGGCACGUGUGCCUUUUUGUAUGUACUUUAUGAAUAAGGAUCGGCUAACUCCGUGCCAGCAGCCGCGGUAAUACGGAGGAUCCGAGCGUUAUCCGGAUUUAUUGGGUGUAAAGGGAGCGUAGAUGGGUUGUUAAGUCAGUUGUGAAAGUUUGCGGCUCAACCGUAAAAUUGCAAUUGAUACUGGCAGUCUUGAGUACAGUUGAGGUAGGCGGAAUUCGUGGUGUAGCGGUGAAAUGCUUAGAUAUCACGAAGAACUCCGAUUGCGAAGGCAGCUUACUAAACUGCCACUGACAUUGAUGCUCGAAAGUGUGGGUAUCAAACAUGAUUAGAUACCCGAGUAGUC